AUGAACGCUGGCGGCGUGCUUAACACAUGCAAGUCGAACGGAAAGGCCCAAGCUUGCUUGGGUACUCGAGUGGCGAACGGGUGAGUAACACGUGGGUGAUCUGCCCUGCACUUCGGGAUAAGCCUGGGAAACUGGGUCUAAUACCGGAUAGGACGAUGGUUUGGAUGCCAUUGUGGAAAGUUUUUUCGGUGUGGGAUGAGCUCGCGGCCUAUCAGCUUGUUGGUGGGGUAAUGGCCUACCAAGGCGUCGACGGGUAGCCGGCCUGAGAGGGUGUACGGCCACAUUGGGACUGAGAGACGGCCCAGACUCCUACGGGAGGCAGCAGUGGGGAAUAUUGCACAAUGGGCGCAAGCCUGAUGCAGCGACGCCGCGUGGGGGAUGACGGCCUUCGGGUUGUAAACUCCGUUCGCUAGGGACGAAGCGUUUUUGUGACGGUACCUGGAGAAGAAGCACCGGCUAACUACGUG
This 467-nucleotide ribosomal RNA is filed under the name uncultured bacterium. RNAcentral's name for it is "partial 16S ribosomal RNA". It matches the Rfam family "Bacterial small subunit ribosomal RNA", at positions 29 to 507 of the family's 1533-position model. The record is from RNAcentral.